UACGUAGGGUGCGAGCGUUAAUCGGAAUUACUGGGCGUAAAGCGUGCGCAGGCGGUUUGUUAAGUCUGAUGUGAAAGCCCCGGGCUCAACCUGGGAAUGGCAUUGGAAACUGGCAAGCUUGAGUAUGGCAGAGGGGGGUGGAAUUCCGCGUGUAGCAGUGAAAUGCGUAGAGAUGCGGAGGAACACCGAUGGCGAAGGCAGCCCCCUGGGCCAAUACUGACGCUCAGGCACGAAAGCGUGGGGAGCAAACAGG
This 253-nucleotide ribosomal RNA is filed under the name uncultured bacterium. RNAcentral describes it as "partial 16S ribosomal RNA". It matches the Rfam family "Bacterial small subunit ribosomal RNA", at positions 524 to 776 of the family's 1533-position model. The record is from RNAcentral.